RNAcentral lists this long non-coding RNA (1121 nucleotides) under Gouania willdenowi (blunt-snouted clingfish). Its description in RNAcentral is "lncRNA (ENSGWIG00000010612.1)". Lineage: Eukaryota; Metazoa; Chordata; Actinopteri; Blenniiformes; Gobiesocidae. The record is from RNAcentral.
CUGCCAAGCGGAGACCUGAAGGUCGCCCUCCAAGGGAGAACGACCAACAGGCAGAUUGACUGGCGGACGCGGGUUUGGGAGAAGCCGUGACCGUCCAACCGAAGGAUACAACGCUUACUCCUCCGACUAACAAUGCACCGGACACAUCAUCCAUUUUAGCCCCAGACACACAUUCUAUAGAACUGAUUAACACAAAGAGACACGCGUUGCAACACCCGGAUUUUCACACUGAUGAUGAGUUAUUUAGGCUUUUUCCAGACCUAGCUGAAGAGGUGCAAGCUCAAAAAGCCCUCCAAAGAGAUUUGUUGCAUGAAAGGUUGUUUUUUGACUCAGGGGCCUCCCUUGAUGGGCCGACAUCGUGUCUGUUCAUGAAGGCCGACGCCUACGAAAGGUUACCGGUAACCAAAAUCAUUGUUAACGGUACUCCGCUUCAGUUUUUGAUCGACACUGGCGCGACAAACUCGGUGAUUAAACUUUCCGAACGCUGCCGUCUACAGCUCAUCCCAUCUUUCGUUUAUUCGAUUUGUGCUAAUGGUGCUACUUCUCGCGAACCCGUGUCCACACCUGCUUAUUGUAUUUGGCCAGCAGGGAACACACACUUCUCCCAUCAAUUUGUGGUUUCAAACGACUGCCCAGUGAACCUACUGGGCAGAGACCUGCUUCUUAAACUUAAAGCAGUUCUCACCUGCACCGAUGCCGGAAUCGAGAUCUCACGACCUUUAACCCCAGCACAAAUGUUCCUCAGACUGUCAGACUCUGUAGAAGAGUCCGCUGGCACACUUUUUGUUUACAACUGGUGGGUUAGUUUUGAUGAUGCAUGCACGCUUAAAUUUUGGGCCGCACAACAUGUGCCCAAGCACCUCACAUUUAAGAAACCUGAGUACAGCCACUGCACAGUACACGUCUCACAACACCCAGACCAUCCCUUUGCUGAGACCUUUUACGGGGACACCUGUAUAAAUGACACCUUAACCGCCGACUUUCUCUACUUUGACUCUCGACACGCUGCUGUUGCUGUACAGCUAACGGAAGACCAACUACCUUUGUUUGACGUACCCAACUCUUUUCCUCACAUCACGGUGGCAAAAAUUCCUAACCUUCAGUGGAAGGACUUGGGCCCU